GACGAACGCUGGCGGCGUGCUUAACACAUGCAAGUCACGGGGGCCCGCAAGGGUAACCGGCGAACGGGUGCGUAACACGUGAGCAAUCUGCCGUCCACUGGGGGAUAUCCGGCCCAACGGCCGGGUAAUACCGCAUACGCUUGCCGGGUGGCAUCACUUGGCAAGGAAACCUCCGGGGGUGGACGAGGAGCUCGCGGCCUAUCAGCUAGUUGGUGGGGUCACGGCCCACCAAGGCGGUGACGGGUAGCUGGUCUGAGAGGAUGGCCAGCCACAUUGGGACUGAGAUACGGCCCAGACUACUCCGGGAGGCAGCAGUGGGGACUAUUGCGCGAUGGCCGCAAGGCUGACGCAGAGACGCAGCGUGGGGGAUGACGCAUUUCGGUGUGUAAACCCCUGUUGACCGGGACGAACCUCCCCUUUCGAGGGGACUGACGGUACCGGGUGAGGAAGCACCGGCUAACUCCGUG
Molecule: ribosomal RNA, 467 nt
Filed under: uncultured bacterium
Lineage: Bacteria
Description: partial 16S ribosomal RNA
Rfam family: Bacterial small subunit ribosomal RNA
Source: RNAcentral